CACGGAGUUAGCCGAUGCUUAUUCAUAUGGUACCGUCAUCAACGUACACGUACGCCUUAUUCUUCCCAUAUAAAAGCAGUUUACAACCCAUAAGGCAUUCUUCCUGCACGCGGCAUGGCUGGUUCAGCCUUCCGACCAUUGACCAAUAUUCCUCACUGCUGCCUCCCGUAGGAGUCUGGUCCCUGUCUCAGUACCAGUGUGGGGGAUCUCCCUCUCAGGACCCCUACCUAUCGUAGCCUUGGGUGCCGUUACCACUCCAACUAGCUAAUAGGACGCAUGCCCAUCUUUCACCACCUCAGUUUAAUUGCCAAAUGAUGCCAUCAACAAUAUAUGGGUAUUAAUCCAAAUUCUUCGGGCUAUCCCCUGUGAAGGUAGGUUGCAUACGCGUUACGCACCGUGCGCCGGUUUCUGCCCGAAGGGCUUCUCCCUCGACUUGCAUGUGUUAGGCCUGCCGCUAGCGUUCAUCCUGAGCCAGGGAUCAAACUCU
This 487-nucleotide ribosomal RNA is filed under the name uncultured Capnocytophaga sp. RNAcentral's name for it is "partial 16S ribosomal RNA". The record is from RNAcentral. Lineage: Bacteria; Pseudomonadati; Bacteroidota; Flavobacteriia; Flavobacteriales; Flavobacteriaceae.